Non-coding RNA from Streptococcus thermophilus CNCM I-1630, 109 nucleotides. The record is from Rfam. Lineage: Bacteria; Bacillati; Bacillota; Bacilli; Lactobacillales; Streptococcaceae.
AUCAUGAGAUUUGAUUAAAGAUUGCGAUUAUGUCGUCAUUACGAAAUUUUACAUUUCCGGCAUAUUCUUAAACAGCGAGACUUGUUUUUAAUUAAACAGGUCUCUUUUG